Molecule: transfer RNA, 72 nt
Filed under: Candidatus Jorgensenbacteria bacterium
Lineage: Bacteria; Candidatus Joergenseniibacteriota
Also listed under: 1 other name
Description: tRNA-Trp
Rfam family: tRNA
About the family: Transfer RNA (tRNA) molecules are approximately 80 nucleotides in length. Their secondary structure includes four short double-helical elements and three loops (D, anti-codon, and T loops).
Source: RNAcentral
GGGGAUAUGGUGUAACCGGUAGCACGAGAGUCUCCAAAACUCUUAGUCUAGGUUCGAGUCCUAGUAUCCCCG